ACUCAAAGGAAUUGACGGGGGCCCGCACAAGCAGCGGAGCGUGUGGUUUAAUUCGAUGCUACGCGAAGAACCUCACCCAGGCUUGACAUGCAUGUGGUACUGAUGUGAAAGCAAAGGGACCCUUCGGGGAGCAUGCACAGGUGUUGCACGGCCGUCGUCAGCUCGUGCCGUGAGGUGUUGGGUUAAGUCCCGCAACGAGCGCAACCCCUGUCGCCAGUUGUACUUUUCUGGCGAGACUGCCGAGAAAUCCUCGGAGGAAGGAGGGGACGAUGUCAGGUCAGCGUGGCCCUUACGCCUGGGGCUACACACACGCUACAAUGGGUGGUACAAAGGGCAGCCAAGCCGCGAGGCGGAGCAAAUCCCAUCAAAGCCAUCCUCAGUUCGGAUUGCAGGCUGAAACCCGCCUGCAUGAAGCCGGAGUUGCUAGUAACCGCAGGUCAGCAUUACUGCGGUGAAUACGUUCCCGGGCCUUGCACACACCGCCCGU
This 487-nucleotide ribosomal RNA is filed under the name uncultured bacterium. RNAcentral's name for it is "partial 16S ribosomal RNA". It matches the Rfam family "Bacterial small subunit ribosomal RNA", at positions 899 to 1397 of the family's 1533-position model. The record is from RNAcentral.